Long non-coding RNA from Vicia villosa (hairy vetch), 693 nucleotides. RefSeq lists it as uncharacterized. The record is from RefSeq and is a predicted model, not a curated record. The transcript is spliced from 5 exons. Lineage: Eukaryota; Viridiplantae; Streptophyta; Magnoliopsida; Fabales; Fabaceae.
UCGAUGCUACCUCUCUCGCGAAGAACAGUGACAACAACACCUUCUCAGGGUGCUUUCGGUUCUCUCAUGUUCAAGUGAACAAAAACAAGAACUUCCGGCCUCUUUUGAUUGAAGACAAACUCAAGACAAUUCAACAAUUAACAGCAAUAUUGAGCGUGAGGUAUGAAGAUAACUUACCUGCGGCUAGAAGAUUUUAGCCGGAUUAGUGUUGCAGGUAUAACACUGAUUAAUGGAAAUAUUGAGAGUAAGAGUGAAAUUAGCUUACCUACGGCGAGGAGGUUUUCGCCGGAUUAUUGUUGAGGAUCCUUUGAUGAAGAUGACACCACCUCUUUGGAUAUUAGGGAGACUUGAAGAUGGACUUCAAGUUGGAACUCUCCACCAAGGUAUGAAGAAUUUCUUCUUCACUCCCCUUCAAGAACUAUGUAGCUAGAAACUCUUAUUUUUUUUCAAGUAGUUUUCUUUGAUUUGAAGAAUUUCUCCUUCUAACAAAGAAACAUGAAAACUAUAAGAGAAGAGGAAGAAGUGAGAAAGCUAGUAGUAUAGUAGCUUUGGUGUGAUUUGCAAUGAAGUGAAGCCUUCUAUUUAUAGGAAAAGUUAAGGGUGUGUUUGGCACUUGGUAAACUUGAUUGGCAAGAUACAAUCAUUGCAAGGAAUAGAAUAAGAAUAAAAAUAUUCUUUAUGAGAUAUUUCUCU